CUGUUCCUUUUUCCUAUGCAUAUACUUCUUUGAGGGUCAGGCCUAAAGAGGUGUAAGGCAUGGGAAAAUGGGGCAG
RNAcentral lists this microRNA precursor (76 nucleotides) under Felis catus (domestic cat). RNAcentral describes it as "mir-202 microRNA precursor family". It matches the Rfam family "mir-202 microRNA precursor family". RNAcentral also lists the same sequence under 5 other names. The record is from Rfam by way of RNAcentral. Lineage: Eukaryota; Metazoa; Chordata; Mammalia; Carnivora; Felidae.